RNAcentral lists this long non-coding RNA (259 nucleotides) under Capra hircus (goat). Its description in RNAcentral is "lncRNA (ENSCHIG00000007317.1)". Lineage: Eukaryota; Metazoa; Chordata; Mammalia; Artiodactyla; Bovidae. The record is from RNAcentral.
AUGGAAAAUUUAUUUAUAUACGUUAACAUUGAAGUUGGUCAGUCGUGUCCGACUCUUUGCAACCCCAUGGACUGUAGCCUACCAGGCUCCUCCGUGCAUGGAAUUUUCCAGGCAAGAGUACUGGAGUGGGUUGCCAUUUUCUUCUCCAGGAGAUCUUCCCGACCCAGGGAUCGAACCCGGGUCUCCUGCAUUGAAGGGAGACCGUCUGAGCCACCAGGUAAGUCUAAUAUGUUUUAAUACCUAGGAAGGUGAGACCCUC